Molecule: ribosomal RNA, 423 nt
Filed under: uncultured bacterium
Lineage: Bacteria
Description: bacterial SSU rRNA
Rfam family: Bacterial small subunit ribosomal RNA
Source: RNAcentral
UAGGGAAUAUUGGUCAAUGGAUGGAAGUCUGAACCAGCCAUGCCGCGUGCAGGAAGAAGGCGUUAUGCGUUGUAAACUGCUUUUGCCAGGGGAUAAAAUGAGUGUGCGCACUUAAUUGAAGGUACCUGGUGAAUAAGCCACGGCUAACUACGUGCCAGCAGCCGCGGUAAUACGUAGGUGGCAAGCGUUGUCCGGAUUUAUUGGGUUUAAAGGGUGCGUAGGUGGCCCUGUAAGUCAGUGGUGAAAUAUCUCAGCUUAACUGAGAGGGUGCCAUUGAUACUGCAGGGCUUGAGUACAGAUGAGGUAGGCGGAAUUGACGGUGUAGCGGUGAAAUGCAUAGAUAUCGUCAAGAACACCGAUAGCGAAGGCAGCUUACCAAGCUGUAACUGACACUGAGGCACGAAAGUGUGGGGAUCAAACAGG